UACUCGCUCCCUAUUGGUCGGUUUUACAGUUUCUAGAAUUUUCGUUUCACACAUGGAUCUCAUUGGUCGUUUCUCGCACAAGGUAGAUAUUUCUGGACGUCUAUUCGUUUAAUAUAAAAGGUGAGCGAGUGGCGCGCGAAUUCAGAAUUAUUUGAAACACGAUACAGAGCGAACAAGCAGUCCGGAGUUUCCAAGCGAAACGAAGCGAAGUGACGUUUAGUUGAAGUUUGCAAAAUUGGUUACAAAAGGUUUGCUAU
Molecule: long non-coding RNA, 257 nt
Organism: Aricia agestis (brown argus)
Lineage: Eukaryota; Metazoa; Arthropoda; Insecta; Lepidoptera; Lycaenidae
Exons: 3
Source: RefSeq, a predicted model, not a curated record